UUCCCCUACGGGACGCAGCAGUGGGGAAUAUUGGACAAUGGGGGAAACCCUGAUCCAGCGACGCCGCGUGAGUGAAGAAGUAUUUCGGUACGUAAAGCUCUAUCAGCAGGAAAGAAAAUGACGGUACCUGACUAAGAAGCCCCGGCUAACUACGUGCCAGCAGCCGCGGUAAUACGUAGGGGGCAAGCGUUAUCCGGAUUUUCUGGGUGUAAAGGGAGCGUAGACGGCAGCGCAAGUCUGGAGUGAAAUGCCGGGGCCCAACACC
RNAcentral lists this ribosomal RNA (265 nucleotides) under uncultured bacterium. Its description in RNAcentral is "partial 16S ribosomal RNA". It matches the Rfam family "Bacterial small subunit ribosomal RNA", at positions 334 to 616 of the family's 1533-position model. The record is from RNAcentral.